RNAcentral lists this ribosomal RNA (506 nucleotides) under uncultured bacterium. Its description in RNAcentral is "partial 16S ribosomal RNA". It matches the Rfam family "Bacterial small subunit ribosomal RNA", at positions 29 to 523 of the family's 1533-position model. The record is from RNAcentral.
AGUGAACGCUGGCGGUAGGCCUAACACAUGCAAGUCGAACGGCAGCACAGGAGAGCUUGCUCUCUGGGUGGCGAGUGGCGGACGGGGAAGGAAUACAUCGGAAUCUACUCUGUCGUGGGGGAUAACGUAGGGAAACUUACGCUAAUACCGCAUACGACCUACGGGUGAAAGCAGGGGAUCUUCGGGCCUUGCGCGAUUGAAUGAGCCGAUGUCGGAUUAGCUAGUUGGCGGGGUAAAGGCCCACCAAGGCGACGAUCCGUAGCUGGUCUGAGAGGAUGAUCAGCCACACUGGAACUGAGACACGGUCCAGACUCCUACGGGAGGCAGCAGUGGGGAAUAUUGGACAACGGGCGCAAGCCUGAUCCAGCCAUACCGCGUGGGUGAAGAAGGCCUUCGGGUUGUAAAGCCCUUUUGUUGGGAAAGAAAUCCAGCUGGCUAAUACCCGGUUGGGAUGACGGUACCCAAAGAAUAAGCACCGGCUAACUUCGUGCCAGCCGCCGCAGUAA